RNAcentral lists this long non-coding RNA (438 nucleotides) under Olea europaea subsp. europaea. Lineage: Eukaryota; Viridiplantae; Streptophyta; Magnoliopsida; Lamiales; Oleaceae. The record is from RNAcentral.
CUGCGCGAAACAAUUAGUGUUUACAUAGUUUCUACUAUGAAUUUUUUAACCACGUAAAAUAAUUAGAUCCAAACUAUAAAUCUCAGAUAUAUAAGUUAUGUGAUGAGAUAUAGAAACAACGUAUCCCAAACAAGUCUACCGUAAAGGGGUUUCAAUUCCGAAUGACGGGGAAAUAUAUAGCUAUGAAGGAGGAUGGAAUGGCGACAUUGCCACGGUCGAAUUCUAUUACCAUAAUAUAGGCCAUGGUUGCUGGUCCCGACAAUAAUGACAGAUCCUACACUGUUUGAGGAAUUAUAAUUACAAAGAACAUACACUUAUACUAAUUAUAAUUACACAGAGCAGAUACUUGAAGUAAAGUUAUCCCUUGUGAUAAUUUAUCUUAAAUUUUUUUUAAUAAAUAUAAUUCACUGAUAGAAUCUUUAUAGUCAAUUGCAGACU